This 72-nucleotide transfer RNA is filed under the name Phrynocephalus helioscopus (sunwatcher toadhead agama). RNAcentral describes it as "tRNA-Asn". Lineage: Eukaryota; Metazoa; Chordata; Lepidosauria; Squamata; Agamidae. The record is from RNAcentral.
UAAACUGACGCCUGCUAGUUUGGGUAAAUAGCUGUUAACUAUUUUUUGUGGGAUCGAGGCCCACCGGUUUUA